RNAcentral lists this non-coding RNA (28 nucleotides) under Phytophthora capsici. Lineage: Eukaryota; Oomycota; Peronosporomycetes; Peronosporales; Peronosporaceae. RNAcentral also lists the same sequence under 219 other names. The record is from RNAcentral.
CGUAGGUGAACCUGCGGAAGGAUCAUUA